Molecule: ribosomal RNA, 514 nt
Filed under: uncultured bacterium
Lineage: Bacteria
Description: bacterial SSU rRNA
Rfam family: Bacterial small subunit ribosomal RNA
Source: RNAcentral
AAGCAACGCGAAGAACCUUACCAGGUCUUGACAUCCUCUGACAAUCCUAGAGAUAGGACUUUCCCCUUCGGGGGACAGAGUGACAGGUGGUGCAUGGUUGUCGUCAGCUCGUGUCGUGAGAUGUUGGGUUAAGUCCCGCAACGAGCGCAACCCUUGUCCUUAGUUGCCAGCAUUUAGUUGGGCACUCUAAGGAGACUGCCGGUGAUAAACCGGAGGAAGGUGGGGAUGACGUCAAAUCAUCAUGCCCCUUAUGAUCUGGGCUACACACGUGCUACAAUGGAUGGUACAAAGGGUUGCGAGACCGCGAGGUUUAGCCAAUCCCAUAAAACCAUUCUCAGUUCGGAUUGUAGGCUGCAACUCGCCUACACGAAGCCGGAAUCGCUAGUAAUCGUGGAUCAGCAUGCCACGGUGAAUACGUUCCCGGGUCUUGUACACACCGCCCGUCACACCACGAGAGUUUGUAACACCCGAAGUCGGUGGGGUAACCGCAAGGAGCCAGCCGCCUAAGGUGGGA